CCAUGGGGCUCAAGAACGUUGUCGGAUAGUUCUCAAAGCAAUAGGAAUAUUAAUUUGGAGCCUCUGUUGCCUUUGCAACUCUAUGAAUUUGGGUUUAAUUUUUAUGGAAUUCAAUGUUGAUAGAAAGCAGAGAUUAUAUUGAAUAAAAUAUAUUUUACUCAAGAAGGAGGAUGAUUUUUGUGAAGUUUACAAGGAAGAUAUCCAGAGUCAAAGUGGCUUUAUGAAUUGGUUACAAUAAGGAGUGCAGUUUUGAAAUAUACUGUCGUGGAAUUUUUGAAAGAAGUUGUGUUGUACGCUACUCCAAGUUUUCUCCGGAGCAGUUAAUCUUAGCUAUUGAAUAGCAGUAUUUACAAGUUUUCUCAUUUCAAAUCUUGUCGGCAGAGGCAUGCCCCUUUUGCAGGAGGGUUCGAGAGGCCUUAACUGAACUGGAUCUUUUAGUAGAGGUAUGAAAUAAAAUUGGUCGACUUAGUUUUUGUUGCAUCAAUAUCUCAUGGCUAAAUUUUAAUAACAUUUGAGCUGUUAACUUUAUUGCCAUUUCUAGUCCGUUUUAAACUGCUUUAAAUCACCCUGAUAUCUACAAAAGAUUUAUUCCAUGCAAAUGGAUUUGAUUUAGCUUUGAUUUUGACUGUUUUCUUUGAAUAUCGGGUUGAUCUCAAGCUUUUACUUGACUUCAAUGGAUCGAAAAGAUACAUAAAAACUGGUUUUGAUUGCUUCCUGUAGCUCAAUGACUAAAUUUUUUCUGUAUCAAGUUUCUCUAUUUCCACUUCUUACAACCAGCCUUCUGAUUGCUUUUACUUCUAAAAGAAAUUCCUUAAUUCCUAUCAUUGAUGUUGUAUAUGUUAUGUGUGACCAUCUGAUACAAUCUAAUUUGAGAAGGUUAAGUGGCUGCGUAUGUUCUCUUCUAUACUGCCAUCAGUUUUAUAAUGGUCUAUCAUAUUAUUCGACUGAUGAUAAACAUUCAGGAAGUUUUUGGAAGUUGCAUUUUAGCUAGUUUUCUCCAUUAGAAGGAACGAAUUUCAUCUUUCGAGGUUUAUCCUUGUCCUAAGGGUUCUAUUAGACAUCGGGACAUAGUUAAGAAAUGUGGUGGCAAAGAGCAGUACGUGGUUCUUUCUAUUUAGUCCAUAUUUCAGUUUAUUCAAGAUCAUUUUAAGGUGCCAUAAAGAAUGAAUGGAGUCUGAUAAAAGGUGUAUUAAUUUGUCAAAUAUAAAAAUUAAUCAGUUGUGUUUUUCUUUCCGACCUACAAAUGUACAGUUUGAAAGAAACCACCUUUAAUCUGUCAAAUGGCCAAAGGAUUACUUGUAAGCCCAAAUGCCUUUGAAGUCACGAGUUUAAUUAUAGCAGCCACCUACUAGGGUUUUAGCAUUGCUACGAGUUCUCUAAUACUGAGCAUUGCAUGGCGAAGCAAUUGUCCAAUUUGACUAGUUCAUGUAUUGUUGGCUUUGACAACAGUUAUAAAAUAUAGUUCUUUUAUUAAAAAAAAAAAAACAUUUUAUUAGUUUGUGGUUUGGAGUUAUAUGCCAAGGACAUUUUCUGUUAAUAAUUUUGUUAGCUUCUGUUAGCCGGGAUUCAUAUUUCUAAAUAAUAAGAUUCUUUAAUGAAAAUAGAUUUUGUAAAUAUAUAUAUCUUUUUUGGGUUUAUUAUGAAAAAGAAAAAUGGUUUUGCAAGGUCAUCUUGUAGAUUGAGACUUUUUAGAUAAGGUGCUUUGGAAGAAGGGUUUGGUUGUAAAUGGAGAGGUCGGAUCAUUGGCUAGGUGGUCUUCAGCCGCUUGUCUCUUAGAAUCUUAUAAGGAUCUUUCUCUGUUGACCUUGUUAAAGGUGUAGCAUCAACCAGAGGGGAAGUAUAUGACUGACCCUUAGGGGGAGGCUGGAGUAAAGAUGAAUUGACUCCUAGGAUGAUAGGUGCACAAUUUUAAUUGGAACCUUAAUGUCUGCCAAGAAAUGCUUUUGGGAUGCUUGGUUCAAGAUCAUUCAUAUGAUCAAAGAAAAAACUAAGUUCAGUGAGUUUUUUCAUUUAUGCUCGAGAAUAUAGAGCAACUACUAAUGUGCACAAUUUCAAUAGGCAGGUGGAAAUGUUUUGGAGAAUGUGGUAAGGCCUUGAUUUAGGACUUCCAGUUAGAAUGAUAUAGAAGAAUUUUCAGGUAAAAAAUAAGGACUGCUAUGAAAUCGCUUUUAGCUAAUUUUUUGGCUUAUGCUAAUGCUUUUGCAAUUAUACACCUUUUUAAUAAGAAGAAAUGGUUCCAUUAUACCACUUCAUUUACCAAUCUUAGCCAACAAAAUAUACACCUUUUUGUGAGGUCCUUCAAUUGUGGAGGCAUGGUUUUAUUCUGCGACUUUAUUUUGGAUUUUAACCAACCAUAAAAUAGCAUAAGAAGUAAUGACAUGCUUUUAUUUCUCUAAACAUAUGUCACUUCAUCUUCUCAAUUAAGACUUGUAAAUGCAGGUUUCCUUUUCUUAUUGAUCCAAAUACCAGUACUUCAAUGUAUGAAAGUGGUAAGUGAUUAAGCCUCCUAUUGUUAUAGUAUCCACAUUCCCCAACUUUUCUAAUGCUUUAUUGCUUUAAUUCACGUUUUUUGUUGUGAUCGUUCAUGUUUUGCAUGUGUAGAAUAGUGUAUAUCAACUCAUGCGUUCUGAAACGCAAGUAUCCUCCAAUUGAGAUACAAAAUCUUUCAUCCAAUUUUCUUCUUAUCUUUCACUUUCCUUGGCCAGCUUCCGUGCUAUUUGAUUAUUCUAUUACAUGCAUGUGUUCUAUAUUUUGCUUAUAGGUGAUAUCGUGAAAUACCUCUUUCAUCAGUAUGGAAAUGGUAGAAACCCCUCAACGGGGCUUUUAGAAAGGUAACUGGACGUCUUAACCUUUUUGUUAUUGAGAUUCUUAUAGUUGUUUGGGAGAACAAGUUUGAAAGCUGUUUGACUUGUUAAUUUUGGUAAUUGUUUAUGUUCUUAAUUCUUUCAUUUUUUCUCACUGGUCUAUCAAAAUAAUAAUAAUAAUAAUAAUGGUAAUUAUGUUCUUAAUUACCGGUACUAAUGUGAUCUUACCGACACUAAUGCAUUGGAUCCAAAUACAGUAGUUAAGCAUGUUGUUUGAGAUAGAGUAGUGCUAGUUAGGGAAGUACGUGGCUCCCUUCAUAACAUGCAAAACCAUUUUAGCUGUACUACCUGCGGCGUUCUUCCUUUUUUUUUUUUUUUCCUUCUUUUUUUUGGUGUUGUGUACAUAGCAGCAUGAAUCGAAUCAAACAUUUCCCAGCUGCAAGAGGUUGCUGUGUGGCUCUUUUUAGCUCUAAAAAUAAACAGCGUCGUAAACCCAUGUUAAUUCUCACAAUCUUUAACAUGCAUCAGAAAGAAAGAGUUAUCUGAUAUCACGGAUGUUUUGUGCGGUGUGCAGACCUAUAAUCUUUUCCUCCUGCUUCGGCUUCUGCUUCUUCUUUCCUUCGUGAUCUAAAUAUUUGUUUUAUGUAGUACAUUGUUUACGGGGUGGAUGCCAACAAUUCUUAGGGCUGGUAGAGGAAUGACAUUGUGGGGAAAGGCCUCGACAGACCCACCGCCAAAAAAGUUGGAACUUUUCUCAUACGAAAACAAUCCGUAUGCUCGAAUUGUGCGCGAGGCAUUAUGUGAGUUGGAGCUUCCUUACAUCCUUCAUAACGUGGGAGAAGGAUCUCUACGGACAAAGCUACUUCUUGACGUUUCCGGAUCAAAAGAGGUACCCUACUUUAUUGAUCCCAAUACUGGUAUUGAAACUGGCAACUACAAGCAGAUUUUGUCUCAUAUAUUCCAGACGUAUUCUGCAGCUACCCUAUAGCCUUGAUGUCUGAUACCAUUAAAUUUUUUACCCAUGAAGCAACAGAAGACUUUGUUAAACAUGCUUUUAAGGCUGUAGGAUACUCUUUUAUAAACUAAGGUAUUCACUGUAUCCUAAAAUUAUCAUAUCCUAAGUCCCUAUUGAUGAAUA
Cucurbita pepo subsp. pepo (vegetable marrow) is the source of this 3942-nucleotide non-coding RNA. Lineage: Eukaryota; Viridiplantae; Streptophyta; Magnoliopsida; Cucurbitales; Cucurbitaceae. The record is from RefSeq and is a predicted model, not a curated record.